This 1467-nucleotide ribosomal RNA is filed under the name Staphylococcus aureus. RNAcentral describes it as "partial 23S ribosomal RNA". It matches the Rfam family "Bacterial large subunit ribosomal RNA", at positions 1315 to 2777 of the family's 2925-position model. Lineage: Bacteria; Bacillati; Bacillota; Bacilli; Caryophanales; Staphylococcaceae. The record is from RNAcentral.
AGACGGGUGAGAAUCCCGUCCACCGAUUGACUAAGGUUUCCAGAGGAAGGCUCGUCCGCUCUGGGUUAGUCGGGUCCUAAGCUGAGGCCGACAGGCGUAGGCGAUGGAUAACAGGUUGAUAUUCCUGUACCACCUAUAAUCGUUUUAAUCGAUGGGGGGACGCAGUAGGAUAGGCGAAGCGUGCGAUUGGAUUGCACGUCUAAGCAGUAAGGCUGAGUAUUAGGCAAAUCCGGUACUCGUUAAGGCUGAGCUGUGAUGGGGAGAAGACAUUGUGUCUUCGAGUCGUUGAUUUCACACUGCCGAGAAAAGCCUCUAGAUAGAAAAUAGGUGCCCGUACCGCAAACCGACACAGGUAGUCAAGAUGAGAAUUCUAAGGUGAGCGAGCGAACUCUCGUUAAGGAACUCGGCAAAAUGACCCCGUAACUUCGGGAGAAGGGGUGCUCUUUAGGGUUAACGCCCAGAAGAGCCGCAGUGAAUAGGCCCAAGCGACUGUUUAUCAAAAACACAGGUCUCUGCUAAACCGUAAGGUGAUGUAUAGGGGCUGACGCCUGCCCGGUGCUGGAAGGUUAAGAGGAGUGGUUAGCUUCUGCGAAGCUACGAAUCGAAGCCCCAGUAAACGGCGGCCGUAACUAUAACGGUCCUAAGGUAGCGAAAUUCCUUGUCGGGUAAGUUCCGACCCGCACGAAAGGCGUAACGAUUUGGGCACUGUCUCAACGAGAGACUCGGUGAAAUCAUAGUACCUGUGAAGAUGCAGGUUACCCGCGACAGGACGGAAAGACCCCGUGGAGCUUUACUGUAGCCUGAUAUUGAAAUUCGGCACAGCUUGUACAGGAUAGGUAGGAGCCUUUGAAACGUGAGCGCUAGCUUACGUGGAGGCGCUGGUGGGAUACUACCCUAGCUGUGUUGGCUUUCUAACCCGCACCACUUAUCGUGGUGGGAGACAGUGUCAGGCGGGCAGUUUGACUGGGGCGGUCGCCUCCUAAAAGGUAACGGAGGCGCUCAAAGGUUCCCUCAGAAUGGUUGGAAAUCAUUCAUAGAGUGUAAAGGCAUAAGGGAGCUUGACUGCGAGACCUACAAGUCGAGCAGGGUCGAAAGACGGACUUAGUGAUCCGGUGGUUCCGCAUGGAAGGGCCAUCGCUCAACGGAUAAAAGCUACCCCGGGGAUAACAGGCUUAUCUCCCCCAAGAGUUCACAUCGACGGGGAGGUUUGGCACCUCGAUGUCGGCUCAUCGCAUCCUGGGGCUGUAGUCGGUCCCAAGGGUUGGGCUGUUCGCCCAUUAAAGCGGUACGCGAGCUGGGUUCAGAACGUCGUGAGACAGUUCGGUCCCUAUCCGUCGUGGGCGUAGGAAAUUUGAGAGGAGCUGUCCUUAGUACGAGAGGACCGGGAUGGACAUACCUCUGGUGUACCAGUUGUCGUGCCAACGGCAUAGCUGGGUAGCUAUGUGUGGACGGGAUAAGUGCUGAAAG